UGGCAAUGAUGACAAAAAGGCCGGACUUACAUCUGCCUCCAAAUGGUUGGUAGUAGAUUGACGAAACAUUUCCUAAGGUAUUUGCUGAGCCAG
Small nucleolar RNA from Rhododendron vialii, 93 nucleotides. RefSeq annotates it as small nucleolar RNA snoR113. The transcript has a single exon. NCBI's taxonomy places the organism in Eukaryota, Viridiplantae, Streptophyta, Magnoliopsida, Ericales, Ericaceae. The record is from RefSeq and is a predicted model, not a curated record.